This 467-nucleotide ribosomal RNA is filed under the name uncultured bacterium. Its description in RNAcentral is "partial 16S ribosomal RNA". It matches the Rfam family "Bacterial small subunit ribosomal RNA", at positions 28 to 507 of the family's 1533-position model. The record is from RNAcentral.
GACGAACGCUGGCGGCGUGCUUAACACAUGCAAGUCGAACGGAAAGGCCCUGCUUUGUGGGGUGCUCGAGUGGCGAACGGGUGAGUAACACGUGAGUAACCUGCCCUUGACUUUGGGAUAACUUCAGGAAACUGGGGCUAAUACCGGAUAGGAGCUCCUGCUGCAUGGUGGGGGUUGGAAAGUUUCGGCGGUUGGGGAUGGACUCGCGGCUUAUCAGCUUGUUGGUGGGGUAGUGGCUUACCAAGGCUUUGACGGGUAGCCGGCCUGAGAGGGUGACCGGCCACAUUGGGACUGAGAUACGGCCCAGACUCCUACGGGAGGCAGCAGUGGGGAAUAUUGCACAAUGGGCGGAAGCCUGAUGCAGCAACGCCGCGUGCGGGAUGACGGCCUUCGGGUUGUAAACCGCUUUCGCCUGUGACGAAGCGUGAGUGACGGUAAUGGGUUAAGAAGCACCGGCUAACUACGUG